RNAcentral lists this ribosomal RNA (253 nucleotides) under uncultured bacterium. RNAcentral describes it as "partial 16S ribosomal RNA". It matches the Rfam family "Bacterial small subunit ribosomal RNA", at positions 524 to 776 of the family's 1533-position model. The record is from RNAcentral.
UACGAAGGGGGCUAGCGUUGCUCGGAAUCACUGGGCGUAAAGCGCACGUAGGCGGCUUUCUAAGUCAGGGGUGAAAUCCUGGAGCUCAACUCCAGAACUGCCUUUGAUACUGGAGAGCUUGAGUCCGGAAGAGGUGAGUGGAACUCCGAGUGUAGAGGUGAAAUUCGUAGAUAUUCGGAGGAACACCAGUGGCGAAGGCGGCUUACUGGUCCAUUACUGACGCUGAGGUGCGAAAGCGUGGGGAGCAAACAGG